RNAcentral lists this ribosomal RNA (492 nucleotides) under uncultured bacterium. RNAcentral's name for it is "partial 16S ribosomal RNA". It matches the Rfam family "Bacterial small subunit ribosomal RNA", at positions 29 to 507 of the family's 1533-position model. The record is from RNAcentral.
AGUGAACGCUGGCGGUAGGCCUAACACAUGCAAGUCGAACGGCAGCACAGUAAGAGCUUGCUCUUACGGGUGGCGAGUGGCGGACGGGUGAGGAAUACAUCGGAAUCUACUUUUUCGUGGGGGAUAACGUAGGGAAACUUACGCUAAUACCGCAUACGACCUACGGGUGAAAGCAGGGGAUCUUCGGACCUUGCGCGAUUGAAUGAGCCGAUGUCGGAUUAGCUAGUUGGCGGGGUAAAGGCCCACCAAGGCGACGAUCCGUAGCUGGUCUGAGAGGAUGAUCAGCCACACUGGAACUGAGACACGGUCCAGACUCCUACGGGAGGCAGCAGUGGGGAAUAUUGGACAAUGGGCGCAAGCCUGAUCCAGCCAUCCCGCGUGGGUGAAGAAGGCCUUCGGGUUGUAAAGCCCUUUUGUUGGGAAAGAAAAGCAGCAGGUUAACACCCCGCUGUUCUGACGGUACCCAAAGAAUAAGCACCGGCUAACUUCGUG